This 786-nucleotide ribosomal RNA is filed under the name uncultured Leptotrichia sp. RNAcentral's name for it is "bacterial SSU rRNA". It matches the Rfam family "Bacterial small subunit ribosomal RNA", at positions 40 to 845 of the family's 1533-position model. The record is from RNAcentral. Lineage: Bacteria; Fusobacteriati; Fusobacteriota; Fusobacteriia; Fusobacteriales; Leptotrichiaceae.
CAGAAUGCUUAACACAUGCAAGUCAUUGGCGAAGCUGCGCUUGCGCAGUCUAGCCAAGGCGGACGGGUGAGUAACGCGUAAGGAACUUGCCCUGCAGACAGGGAUAACAGACGGAAACGACUGAUAACACCUGGUAUUGUCAGGCUGGCGCAUGCCGGCCUGAUGAAAGGAGACGCUGCAGGAGAGCCUUGCGUCCUAUUAGCUAGUUGGUGGGGUAACGGCCCACCAAGGCGACGAUAGGUAGCCGGCCUGAGAGGGUGAACGGCCACAAGGGGACUGAGAUACGGCCCUUACUCCUACGGGAGGCAGCAGUGGGGAAUAUUGGACAAUGGGGGCAACCCUGAUCCAGCAAUUCUGUGUGCACGAAGAAGGUUUUCGGAUUGUAAAGUGCUUUCAGCAGGGAAGAAGAAAGUGACGGUACCUGCAGAAGAAGCGACGGCUAAAUACGUGCCAGCAGCCGCGGUAAUACGUAUGUCGCAAGCGUUAUCCGGAAUUAUUGGGCAUAAAGGGCAUCUAGGCGGCCCUGUAAGUCUAGGGUGAAAACCUGCGGCUCAACCGCAGGCCUGCCCCGGAAACUACAGGGCUGGAGUAUCGGAGAGGUGGACGGAACUGCACGAGUAGAGGUGAAAUUCGUAGAUAUGUGCAGGAAUGCCGAUGAUGAAGAUAGUUCACUGGACGGCAACUGACGCUGAAGUGCGAAAGCUAGGGGAGCAAACAGGAUUAGAUACCCUGGUAGUCCUAGCUGUAAACGAUGAUUACUGGGUGUGGGCAUGAAGAGUGUCCGUG